RNAcentral lists this ribosomal RNA (302 nucleotides) under uncultured bacterium. Its description in RNAcentral is "partial 16S ribosomal RNA". It matches the Rfam family "Bacterial small subunit ribosomal RNA", at positions 508 to 807 of the family's 1533-position model. The record is from RNAcentral.
GCAGCAGCCGCGGUAAUGCGGAGGGGGCUAGCGUUGUUCGGAAUUACUGGGCGUAAAGCGCACGUAGGCGGCUUGGUAAGUUAGAGGUGAAAGCCCGGAGCUCAACUCCGGAAUUGCCUUUAAGACUGCCGAGCUAGUAGGUGAGAGAGGUAAGUGGAAUUCCGAGUGUAGAGGUGAAAUUCGUAGAUAUUCGGAAGAACACCAGUGGCGAAGGCGGCUUACUGGCUCAUUCUAGACGCUGAGGUGCGAAAGCGUGGGGAGCAAACAGGAUUAGAUACCCCCGUAGUCCCUGUCUCUUAUAC